UAACACGUGAGCAACCUGCCCCUGACUCUGGGAUAAGCGCUGGAAACGGCGUCUAAUACUGGAUACGAGUAGCGACCGCAUGGUCAGUUACUGGAAAGAUUUAUUGGUUGGGGAUGGGCUCGCGGCCUAUCAGCUUGUUGGUGAGGUAAUGGCUCACCAAGGCGUCGACGGGUAGCCGGCCUGAGAGGGUGACCGGCCACACUGGGACUGAGACACGGCCCAGACUCCUACGGGAGGCAGCAGUGGGGAAUAUUGCACAAUGGGCGCAAGCCUGAUGCAGCAACGCCGCGUGAGGGAUGACGGCCUUCGGGUUGUAAACCUCUUUUAGCAGGGAAGAAGCGAAAGUGACGGUACCUGCAGAAAAAGCGCCGGCUAACUACGUGCCAGCAGCCGCGGUAAUACGUAGGGCGCAAGCGUUAUCCGGAAUUAUUGGGCGUAAAGAGCUCGUAGGCGGUUUGUCGCGUCUGCUGUGAAAUCCGGAGGCUCAACCUCCGGCCUGCAGUGGGUACGGGCAGACUAGAGUGCGGUAGGGGAGAUUGGAAUUCCUGGUGUAGCGGUGGAAUGCGCAGAUAUCAGGAGGAACACCGAUGGCGAAGGCAGAUCUCUGGGCCGUAACUGACGCUGAGGAGCGAAAGGGUGGGGAGCAAACAGGCUUAGAUACCCUGGUAGUCCACCCCGUAAACGUUGGGAACUAGUUGUG
RNAcentral lists this ribosomal RNA (700 nucleotides) under Microbacterium phyllosphaerae. Its description in RNAcentral is "bacterial SSU rRNA". It matches the Rfam family "Bacterial small subunit ribosomal RNA", at positions 111 to 824 of the family's 1533-position model. Lineage: Bacteria; Bacillati; Actinomycetota; Actinomycetes; Micrococcales; Microbacteriaceae. The record is from RNAcentral.